Molecule: ribosomal RNA, 506 nt
Filed under: uncultured bacterium
Lineage: Bacteria
Description: bacterial SSU rRNA
Rfam family: Bacterial small subunit ribosomal RNA
Source: RNAcentral
UGAGGAAUCUUGCGCAAUGGAGGAAACUCUGACGCAGCCACGCCGCGUGCCGGAAGACGGCCCUACGGGUUGUAAACGGCUUUUAAUUGGGAAGAAGGAUAGGGUUUUGAUCUUAUUUGACGGUACCGAUUGAAUAAGCACCGGCUAACUCCGUGCCAGCAGCCGCGGUAAUACGGAGGGUGCAAGCGUUGUCCGGAAUCAUUGGGUGUAAAGGGUGCGUAGGCUGGCUCUUAAGUCUGAGGUGAAAUCUUGCCGCUUAACGGUAAAAUGGCCUUGGAUACUGGGAGUCUUGAAUCUGACAGAGGUCGGUGGAAUUCGUAGUGUAGCGGUGAAAUGCAUAGAUAUUACGAAGAACACCAGUGGCGAAGGCGGCCGGCUGGGUCAGUAUUGACGCUGAGGCACGAGAGCGUGGGGAGCGAACAGGAUUAGAUACCCUGGUAGUCCACGCUGUAAACGAUGUAUGCUAGUUGUUGGGCCGCAAGGUUCAGUGACGCAGUUAACGCAGU